This 1668-nucleotide ribosomal RNA is filed under the name Paramecium duboscqui. Its description in RNAcentral is "partial 18S ribosomal RNA". It matches the Rfam family "Eukaryotic small subunit ribosomal RNA". The record is from RNAcentral. Lineage: Eukaryota; Ciliophora; Oligohymenophorea; Peniculida; Parameciidae.
GAAACUGCGAAUGGCUCAUUAAAACAGUUAUAGUUUAUUUGAUAGUGUUUUUACAUGGAUAACCGUGGUAAUUCUAGAGCUAAUACAUGCGCAAAUACCCGACUCACGAAGGGUAGCAUUUAUUAGUUUCAACCAUCACUUGGUGAAUCAUAGUAACUUAGCUGACCGCGCGCAAGCGUGGUAAAUCAUUCAAGUUUCUGCCCUAUCAGCUUUCGAUGGUAGUGUAUUGGACUACCAUGGCAGUCACGGGUAACGGAGAAUUAGGGUUCGAUUCCGGAGAGGGAGCCUGAGAAACGGCUACCACAUCUAAGGAAGGCAGCAGGCGCGUAAAUUACCCAAUCCCGAUUCGGGGAGGUAGUGACAAGAAAUAACAACUCGGGUGGUUUUCCACUUCGGGAUUGCAAUGAGACAAAUCUAAAAACCUUUACGAUUAACAAUUGGAGGGCAAGUCUGGUGCCAGCAGCCGCGGUAAUUCCAGCUCCAAUAGCGUAUACUUAAGUUGUUGCAGUUAAAAAGCUCGUAGUUGAAAGUCGAAUUAGUCUCGCUGAUGGCUCCAGUCGUCACGUUGGCUGAUUCUCCGUCUAUGAACUUCUUGCUCCUUAAAAAGAAUAAGAUGUUGAGUAGACACUUUACCUUGAAAAAAUUAGAGUGUUCCAGGCAGGUUUUCGCCGGAAUACAUUAGCAUGGAAUAAUGGAAUAGGACACUGGUCUGUUGUUGGUUUUUGGACCAUUGUAAUGAUUAAUAGGGACAGAUGGGGGCAUUAGUAUUUAAUUGUCAGAGGUGAAAUUCUUGGAUUUAUUAAAGACUAACUUAUGCGAAAGCAUUUGCCAAGGAUGUUUUCAUUAAUCAAGAACGAAAGUUAGGGGAUCAAAGACGAUCAGAUACCGUCGUAGUCUUAACUAUUAACUAUACCGACUCGGGAUCGGAAGGGUUAUUAAUUUGGCCCUUUCGGCACCGUAAGAGAAAUCAAAGUCUUUGGGUUCUGGGGGGAGUAUGGUCGCAAGGCUGAAACUUAAAGGAAUUGACGGAAGGGCACCACCAGGAGUGGAGCCUGCGGCUUAAUUUGACUCAACACGGGGAAACUUACCAGGUCAAAACAUGGAUGGGAUUGACAGAUUGAAAGCUCUUUCUUGAUUCUAUGGGUGGUGGUGCAUGGCCGUUCUUAGUUGGUGGAGUGAUUUGUCUGGUUAAUUCCGAUAACGAACGAGACCUUAACCUGCUAACUAGUCCAUUCCUGAAUAAGGGGUGCGACUUCUUAGAGGGACUAUGUAUGUUAAAUGCAUGGAAGUUUAAGGCAAUAACAGGUCUGUGAUGCCCCUAGAUGUCCUGGGCCGCACGCGCGCUACAAUGACACGUUCAGCGAGCUCAUUACCUGGCCCGAAAGGGUUCGGGAAAUCUUGUUAGGACGUGUCGUGCUGGGGAUAGAUCUUUGUAAUUAUAGAUCUUGAACGAGGAAUUCCUUGUAAGCACAGGUCAUCAGCCUGUGCUGAAUACGUCCCUGCCCUUUGUACACACCGCCCGUCGCUCCUACCGAUUUCGAGUGAUGUGGUGAACCAUCUGGACUGCGAGUAGGCUCGAACUACUUGCGGGAAGUUUUGUAAACCUUAUCACUUAGAGGAAGGAGAAGUCGUAACAAGGUUUCCGUAGGUGAACCUGCGGAAGGAUCA